GAUGAACGCUAGCGGCGGGCUUAAUACAUGCAAGUCGAACGGUAACAGGUCUUCGGACGCUGACGAGUGGCGCACGGGUGCGUAACGCGUACACAACCUACCCUAAAGAGGGGAUAGCUCCGGGAAACUGGGAAUAAUACCCCAUAGUACUACUAAGUUGCAUAAUUUGGUAGUUAAAGGUUUACUGCUUUAGGAUGGGUGUGCGAGCCAUUAGGUAGUUGGAGAGGUAACGGCUCACCAAGCCGACGAUGGCUAGGCUGGUCUGAGAGGAUGAUCAGCCACACGGGCACUGAGACACGGGCCCGACUCCUACGGGAGGCAGCAGUAGGAAUAUUGGACAAUGGCGAAAGCCUGAUCCAGCCACG
This 365-nucleotide ribosomal RNA is filed under the name uncultured bacterium. Its description in RNAcentral is "bacterial SSU rRNA". It matches the Rfam family "Bacterial small subunit ribosomal RNA", at positions 28 to 396 of the family's 1533-position model. The record is from RNAcentral.